Molecule: ribosomal RNA, 232 nt
Filed under: uncultured bacterium
Lineage: Bacteria
Description: partial 16S ribosomal RNA
Rfam family: Bacterial small subunit ribosomal RNA
Source: RNAcentral
CAAUACAUCACCGGCGGACGGGUGCGUAACACGUGGGAAUAUACCUUUCGGUACGGAACAACUGAGGGAAACUUCAGCUAAUACCGUAUACGUCCUUACGGAGAAAGAUUUAUCGCCGAAGGAUUAGCCCGCGUUCGAUUAGCUAGUUGGUGAGGUAAUGGCUCACCAAGGCAACGAUCGAUAGCUGUUCUGAGAGGAAGAUCAGCCACACUGGGACUGAGACACGGCCCAG